AUUAUGGAUAAUUUUAUUUAGAGGAAAAAAUUCUAACAACUGCAUAGAACAACACCUGAUAUAAUCACAAACAAGAAAGACAAAAACAACAUUCUAAAAACGAUUAAAACAUUUCGAAACUGAUGUAAAUACAACAGUGCAAAAUAUAAAUGGCAAAAUGACUAUAAAAACAAUGAUAAAAUAAGAGAAAUAAGAACAAAAUAAUAAAAUAAAUUAUAAACAUUUACAAGAUCCAAGUUAAAAAAAAAUUAGGAUUAUGUUGGUCUGAUAAUGUGUAACUGUAAUGAGAAGAACAAGAACCAAAUGGUUGUUGGAUGCAUGAUGAACUUUUCAAGAUAAAGGUGAGAAAUUUACAGAAGCUAUACUAGCUCACGUAUACAGAUUAACAGAUAUUACAAAAAAAAAAAACACACAAAGUUAUAAAACAAUGUUUCUUCACUCGUUUUGUUUUCUAUUUGGUACAACAUAUUCUCAAGUUUGAGACUCACUCAUUGUUUCCAUUUUACUUAAAGCUGAAGCUCUCUAUUCUGUAUGACUUGAGAAAAAAAGUGGCACUUGAAGUUCUUCUAAGGAAAUGAUUAAAUAUCUUUAGACAUUUAUGCUUUGGUAUGACGACAACAACGACACUGAUGUUGUUUUGGAUUUUUACAUUUGUUAGUUAUACGUUUUUGUUCUUUAAAUACAAACAACUUUAUAUAUUUGUUAGCCAAGUUUAAAACAAAUCAAACAUCUAAAAUAUUGGCCAUUAAAGAAUCUGUUAAAGGAGUAUGAGAAUUUUACACAUUGAAUAGUUCUACAAUAAAAAUACCUUCAAGUUGUAUGUUUCUAGUUCAAGAAACAGAGUUAUUAUUUGUUUGCUAAACUGUGGGAUAAGAAUACGACUAACACAGGAAACAAAAUAUGUAGAUAUGGGCUAAAUUAGAACUGAUCUAUAAAUGAAUUAUAACUAAACAAAAACUGAACCAGAACAGAACUAGAAGUGAACUAAAACUGAACUAGAACUGAACUAGAACUGAACAAGA
Long non-coding RNA from Lucilia cuprina (Australian sheep blowfly), 1022 nucleotides. RefSeq lists it as uncharacterized. Lineage: Eukaryota; Metazoa; Arthropoda; Insecta; Diptera; Calliphoridae. The transcript is spliced from 3 exons. The record is from RefSeq and is a predicted model, not a curated record.